RNAcentral lists this ribosomal RNA (517 nucleotides) under uncultured beta proteobacterium. Its description in RNAcentral is "bacterial SSU rRNA". It matches the Rfam family "Bacterial small subunit ribosomal RNA", at positions 503 to 1031 of the family's 1533-position model. Lineage: Bacteria; Pseudomonadati; Pseudomonadota; Betaproteobacteria. The record is from RNAcentral.
ACGUGCCAGCAGCCGCGGUAAUACGAGGGUGCGAGCGUUAAUCGGAAUUACUGGGCGUAAAGCGUGCGCAGGCUGUUCUGUAAGUCAGAUGUGAAAUCCCCGAGCUCAACUGGGAACUGCGUUUGAAACUACAGGACUAGAAUAUGUCAGAGGGGGGUAGAAUUCCACGUGUAGCAGUGAAAUGCGUAGAGAUGUGGAGGAAUACCAAUGGCGAAGGCAGCCCCCUGGGAUAAUAUUGACGCUCAUGCACGAAAGCGUGGGGAGCAAACAGGAUUAGAUACCCUGGUCCACGCAACGAUGUCUACUAGUUGUUGGUGGAGUAAAAUCCAUGAGUAACGCAGCUAACGCGUGAAGUGGACCGCCUGGGGAGCACGGUCGCAAGAUUGAAACUCAAAUGAAUUGACGGGGGCCCGCACAAGCGGUGGAUUAUGUGGAUUAAUUCGAUGCAACGCGAACCUUACCUGGCCUUGACAUGUAGCCUUUCCAGAGAUGGAUUGGUGCCCGAAAGGGAGCGCUA